GGUUAAGCGACUAAGCGUACACGGUGGAUGCCCUGGCAGUCAGAGGCGAUGAAGGACGUGCUAAUCUGCGAAAAGCGUCGGUAAGGUGAUAUGAACCGUUAUAACCGGCGAUGUCCGAAUGGGGAAACCCAGUGCAAUUCGUUGCACUAUCGUUAACUGAAUACAUAGGUUAACGAGGCGAACCGGGGGAACUGAAACAUCUAAGUACCCCGAGGAAAAGAAAUCAACCGAGAUUCCCCCAGUAGCGGCGAGCGAACGGGGAGCAGCCCAGAGUCUGAAUCAGCUUGUGUGUUAGUGGAACGGUCUGGAAAGUCCGACGGUACAGGGUGAUAGUCCCGUACACCAAAAUGCACAGGUUGUGAACUCGAAGAGUAGGGCGGGACACGUGGUAUCCUGUCUGAAUAUGGGGGGACCAUCCUCCAAGGCUAAAUACUCCUGACUGACCGAUAGUGAACCAGUACCGUGAGGGAAAGGCGAAAAGAACCCCGGCGAGGGGAGUGAAAAAGAACCUGAAACCGUGUACGUACAAGCAGUGGGAGCACCUUCGGGUGUGACUGCGUACCUUUUGUAUAAUGGGUCAGCGACUUAUAUUCUGUAGCAAGGUUAACCGUAUAGGGGAGCCGCAGGGAAACCGAGUCUUAACUGGGCGUUAAGUUGCAGGGUAUAGACCCGAAACCCGGUGAUCUAGCCAUGGGCAGGUUGAAGGUUGGGUAACACUAACUGGAGGACCGAACCGACUAAUGUUGAAAAAUUAGCGGAUGACUUGUGGCUGGGGGUGAAAGGCCAAUCAAACCGGGAGAUAGCUGGUUCUCCCCGAAAGCUAUUUAGGUAGCGCCUCGUGAAUUCAUCUUCGGGGGUAGAGCACUGUUUCGGCUAGGGGGUCAUCCCGACUUACCAACCCGAUGCAAACUACGAAUACCGAAGAAUGUUAUCACGGGAGACACACGGCGGGUGCUAACGUCCGUCGUGAAGAGGGAAACAACCCAGACCGCCAGCUAAGGUCCCAAAGUCAUGGUUAAGUGGGAAACGAUGUGGGAAGGCACAGACAGCCAGGAUGUUGGCUUAGAAGCAGCCAUCAUUUAAAGAAAGCGUAAUAGCUCACUGGUCGAGUCGGCCUGCGCGGAAGAUGUAACGGGGCUAAACCAUGCACCGAAGCUGCGGCAGCGACACUAUGUGUUGUUGGGUAGGGGAGCGUUCUGUAAGCCUGCGAAGGUGACCUGUGAGGGUUGCUGGAGGUAUCAGAAGUGCGAAUGCUGACAUAAGUAACGAUAAAGCGGGUGAAAAGCCCGCUCGCCGGAAGACCAAGGGUUCCUGUCCAACGUUAAUCGGGGCAGGGUGAGUCGACCCCUAAGGCGAGGCCGAAAGGCGUAGUCGAUGGGAAACAGGUUAAUAUUCCUGUACUUGGUGUUACUGCGAAGGGGGGACGGAGAAGGCUAUGUUAGCCGGGCGACGGUUGUCCCGGUUUAAGCAUGUAGGCUGGUUAUCCAGGCAAAUCCGGAUAAUCAAGGCUGAGGUGUGAUGACGAGGCACUACGGUGCUGAAGUAACAAAUGCCCUGCUUCCAGGAAAAGCCUCUAAGCAUCAGGUAACAUUAAAUCGUACCCCAAACCGACACAGGUGGUCAGGUAGAGAAUACCAAGGCGCUUGAGAGAACUCGGGUGAAGGAACUAGGCAAAAUGGUGCCGUAACUUCGGGAGAAGGCACGCUGGUGUGUAGGUGAAGUCCCUGCGGAUGGAGCUGAGACCAGUCGAAGAUACCAGCUGGCUGCAACUGUUUAUUAAAAACACAGCACUGUGCAAACACGAAAGUGGACGUAUACGGUGUGACGCCUGCCCGGUGCCGGAAGGUUAAUUGAUGGGGUUAUCCGUAAGGAGAAGCUCUUGAUCGAAGCCCCGGUAAACGGCGGCCGUAACUAUAACGGUCCUAAGGUAGCGAAAUUCCUUGUCGGGUAAGUUCCGACCUGCACGAAUGGCGUAAUGAUGGCCAGGCUGUCUCCACCCGAGACUCAGUGAAAUUGAACUCGCUGUGAAGAUGCAGUGUACCCGCGGCAAGACGGAAAGACCCCGUGAACCUUUACUAUAGCUUGACACUGAACAUUGAGCCUUGAUGUGUAGGAUAGGUGGGAGGCUUUGAAGCGUGGACGCCAGUCUGCGUGGAGCCAACCUUGAAAUACCACCCUUUAAUGUUUGAUGUUCUAACGUUGGCCCCUGACCGGGGUUGCGGACAGUGUCUGGUGGGUAGUUUGACUGGGGCGGUCUCCUCCCAAAGCGUAACGGAGGAGCACGAAGGUUAGCUAAUCCUGGUCGGACAUCAGGAGGUUAGUGCAAUGGCAUAAGCUAGCUUGACUGCGAGCGUGACGGCGCGAGCAGGUGCGAAAGCAGGUCAUAGUGAUCCGGUGGUUCUGAAUGGAAGGGCCAUCGCUCAACGGAUAAAAGGUACUCCGGGGAUAACAGGCUGAUACCGCCCAAGAGUUCAUAUCGACGGCGGUGUUUGGCACCUCGAUGUCGGCUCAUCACAUCCUGGGGCUGAAGUAGGUCCCAAGGGUAUGGCUGUUCGCCAUUUAAAGUGGUACGCGAGCUGGGUUUAGAACGUCGUGAGACAGUUCGGUCCCUAUCUGCCGUGGGCGCUGGAGAAUUGAGGGGGGCUGCUCCUAGUACGAGAGGACCGGAGUGGACGCAUCACUGGUGUUCGGGUUGUCAUGCCAAUGGCACUGCCCGGUAGCUAAAUGCGGAAGAGAUAAGUGCUGAAAGCAUCUAAGCACGAAACUUGCCCCGAGAUGAGUUCUCCCUGAGACUUUAAGUCUCCUGAAGGAACGUUAAAGACGAUGACGUUGAUAGGCCGGGUGUGUAAGCGCAGCGAUGCGUUGAGCUAACCGGUACUAAUGAACCGUGAGGCUUAACCUU
Molecule: ribosomal RNA, 2902 nt
Filed under: Klebsiella pneumoniae
Lineage: Bacteria; Pseudomonadati; Pseudomonadota; Gammaproteobacteria; Enterobacterales; Enterobacteriaceae
Also listed under: 1 other name
Description: 23S ribosomal RNA
Rfam family: Bacterial large subunit ribosomal RNA
Source: RNAcentral